UAUCCUUCUCAGCAUUCUGUCUAAGAUCGAGUAUAGUAUCUGUUCUUAUCAGUUUACUAUCUGAUACAUCCUCUAUCCCUGAUACUCUUGUGUGAAUAAUGAACUCAAUUCUUUUUAAGGGGAUGACUA
This is a small nuclear RNA of Cricetulus griseus (Chinese hamster), 129 nucleotides long. Its record names the gene U2. It matches the Rfam family "U2 spliceosomal RNA". Rfam says of the family: U2 is a small nuclear RNA (snRNA) component of the spliceosome (involved in pre-mRNA splicing). Lineage: Eukaryota; Metazoa; Chordata; Mammalia; Rodentia; Cricetidae. The record is from Ensembl.